Molecule: ribosomal RNA, 524 nt
Filed under: Legionella cherrii
Lineage: Bacteria; Pseudomonadati; Pseudomonadota; Gammaproteobacteria; Legionellales; Legionellaceae
Description: bacterial SSU rRNA
Rfam family: Bacterial small subunit ribosomal RNA
Source: RNAcentral
UGCUUAACACAUGCAAGUCGAACGGCAGCAUGGUCUAGCUUGCUAGACUGAUGGCGAGUGGCGAACGGGUGAGUAACGCGUAGGAAUAUGCCUUGAAGUGGGGGACAACUUGGGGAAACUCAAGCUAAUACCGCAUAAUAUCUAAGGAUGAAAGCUGGGGACCUUCGGGCCUGGCGCUUUAAGAUUAGCCUGCGUCCGAUUAGCUAGUUGGUGGGGUAAGGGCCUACCAAGGCGACGAUCGGUAGCUGGUCUGAGAGGAUGGCCAGCCACACUGGAACUGAGACACGGUCCAGACUCCUACGGGAGGCAGCAGUGGGGAAUAUUGGACAAUGGGGGCAACCCUGAUCCAGCAAUGCCGCGUGUGUGAAGAAGGCCUGAGGGUUGUAAAGCACUUUCAGUAGGGAGGAGGACAUUUCGGUUAAGAGCUAGAAUGUUGGACGUUACCUACAGAAGAAGCACCGGCUAACUCCGUGCCAGCAGCCGCGGUAAUACGGAGGGUGCAAGCGUUAAUCGGAAUUACUGGG